GCGUCCGCCGGGUCGCAGGGUGCCGCGCCCGGCCCCCUCGGGGGGAGCGGGGUGCAGCGGGCGCUCGGCGUCCUGCAGUUCAUGACCGCGGCGGCCGCG
This 99-nucleotide transfer RNA is filed under the name Cellulomonas soli. RNAcentral's name for it is "tRNA-Pro". The record is from RNAcentral. Lineage: Bacteria; Bacillati; Actinomycetota; Actinomycetes; Micrococcales; Cellulomonadaceae.